RNAcentral lists this ribosomal RNA (253 nucleotides) under uncultured bacterium. RNAcentral's name for it is "partial 16S ribosomal RNA". It matches the Rfam family "Bacterial small subunit ribosomal RNA", at positions 524 to 776 of the family's 1533-position model. The record is from RNAcentral.
UACGUAGGGUGCAAGCGUUGUCCGGAAUUAUUGGGCGUAAAGAGCUUGUAGGCGGUCUGUCGCGUCUGCUGUGAAAAUCCAGGGCUCAACCCUGGACCUGCAGUGGGUACGGGCAGACUAGAGUGCGGUAGGGGAGAUCGGAAUUCCUGGUGUAGCGGUGAAAUGCGCAGAUAUCAGGAGGAACACCGGUGGCGAAGGCGGAUCUCUGGGCCGUAACUGACGCUGAGGAGCGAAAGCAUGGGGAGCGAACAGG